UCACAUUUAUAUAUGUUCCAUAUAAAAAACAAACAAAUUUCUCAUUAACCACGGGAAACCGUAGUUGAUGUUGAUUAACACAUAAAAGAGUAUCCAAUAUGAUUUGUAUUUACGUAUGAAAAGGAUUUCCAUAUAUAUCCAAUGUGUAUCCAAGGCUUUAGUUUUUUAUUUUAUUUUAUUUAAUCAUCCAAUGACUUUAUAUAAUCAUAACAAUUCCAGAUUGAAUUAUCCAUAUAUAGUAUCGAUCAGCAUGUGAACUGGAGUAGUCCUUAUCAACUUCUAUUUCUUCAAUUUCCCGCUUGUACGCCCAAAAAGAAAAAAAGAAAAAACAAGAACACGAAAGAGAGUGGGAACAAAAGGAAUUUAGGCGGGACGAUUGGCGCCUGAUAAGAGCCCCAAUCCCUCAAACCUCGCUAAUCGAUUAGAUUAAAAGGGCGUUCUGCUUUUCACUGACCAAGGAAGCAUAGGGAAGUAGAGGGUUUGCGAAAUCGACAUGGCUGGGUUUUUAGGAAGCGGGUUCGUGUGCUUUUAGAGGAUGGUGACCAUCAACAAGAGGAACCGGUCUCAAAAGAGAAUGAAUCAGUCAACAGGGACACGAACCUAUAUAUGCUAGUUUGGCUCAUGAAUAUAACUUCUGCAUGGUAAAAAGCCAGAUAGAUGGGAAUUGUUCAAAUUAACACACCAAAAGGCAGGAACUCAAGAGCCAAUUGAUGCAGCAGGUGCAAAAGCAAUUGCGGAUUUUGAAGAGGCCGAACAAAAGAGGCUAAGCAUGAAUCAACACAUCACUGCUCCAGAAAUCCGUGAAGAAAUGUAUGCUGAGGUUCUUGGUAAGGAGAAGGGAAACUGAGUAAGGGGUCUUGGAGCUGGGGUUACUUGGGAUGAAGUUCCUGGAAUUCAUGUGGAAGAGCGAGAUGUUUCAAAGGAAGUGCAACUCUUGCGAGAGCGUUUAGAAGCACAAACCAAAGAGGCACAAGAGAGGGAAGCACGUCUGAUGGAUGAAUUACAAAGGAAAAUGGCCGAACAAACAAAAAAAAUGGAAGAAAUGCUUGAAGUAAGGUGUGUAGGCAUGGCGGUCCAAAAAAUGGGAGAGAUGUUUAAACAAUGUGGAAUAUCGGUGGAUACAUAAGAAGAUAUGGAGCAAACAAUGUCUCAAUUUGCUCAGCACAUUUCUCAAAGGCCGUCAAAUGUGAUUUUUUCACCAAAUGAUGAUGUUUACCGCUCCACAUUGCCAUUUGAAUGUGCUGAUAUGCAGACGGAUUGAAGACAUUGCUUGAAGAUGGUGGUCGCUCGUUCAACUCUAUCGGAAGUAGUUUGAUAUUACAAUAAAGAUUUUCGUAUUAGUAUUUCCAUUUUCUAGUCAUUUGAGAUUUCGGACUAAUUUUAAUUCUUGU
Long non-coding RNA from Rosa rugosa (rugosa rose), 1391 nucleotides. RefSeq lists it as uncharacterized. Lineage: Eukaryota; Viridiplantae; Streptophyta; Magnoliopsida; Rosales; Rosaceae. The transcript is spliced from 5 exons. The record is from RefSeq and is a predicted model, not a curated record.